This 253-nucleotide ribosomal RNA is filed under the name uncultured bacterium. Its description in RNAcentral is "partial 16S ribosomal RNA". It matches the Rfam family "Bacterial small subunit ribosomal RNA", at positions 524 to 776 of the family's 1533-position model. The record is from RNAcentral.
UACGAAGGGUGCUAGCGUUGUUCGGAAUUACUGGGCGUAAAGAGCGCGUAGGCGGUUGUACUAGUCAGGGGUGAAAUCCCACAGCUUAACUGUGGAACUGCCUUUGAAACUGUGCAGCUGGAGUGUGUGAGGGGAUAGCGGAAUUCCUAAUGUAGAGGUGAAAUUCGUAGAUAUUAGGAGGAACACCGGUGGCGAAGGCGGCUAUCUGGCACACAACUGACGCUGAGGUACGAAAGCGUGGGGAGCAAACAGG